UUAAGUUCAGCGGGUAUCCCUACCUGAUCCGAGGUCAAUCGUAGAAAUGGGGGUUGCUGGCAAGCAUCCACCGGGACUCCAUAGCGAGAAGAAUUACUACGCUUAGAGCCAGAUGGCGCCGCCACUGGUUUUAAGAGCCGCCGGGAAGGCGAGCCCCAAGACCCCCGCGAGGGGAUGUGAUUAUAUGACGCUCGAACAGG
Molecule: unclassified non-coding RNA, 200 nt
Filed under: Hyalopeziza sp.
Lineage: Eukaryota; Fungi; Ascomycota; Leotiomycetes; Helotiales; Hyaloscyphaceae
Description: partial internal transcribed spacer 2
Source: RNAcentral